CCUACGGGAGGCAGCAGUCGAGAAUCAUUCACAAUGGGGGAAACCCUGAUGGUGCGACGCCGCGUGGGGGAAUGAAGGUCUUCGGAUUGUAAACCCCUGUCAUGUGGGAGCAAAUUAAAAAGAUAGUACCACAAGAGGAAGAGACGGCUAACUCUGUGCCAGCAGCCGCGGUAAUACAGAGGUCUCAAGCGUUGUUCGGAAUCACUGGGCGUAAAGCGUGCGUAGGCUGUUUCGUAAGUCGUGUGUGAAAGGCGCGGGCUCAACCCGCGGACGGCACAUGAUACUGGUAGAUUAGAGGAAUGGAGAGGGAACCGGAAUUCUCGGUGUAGCAGUAAAAUGCGUAGAUAUCGAGAGGAACACUCGUGGCGAAGGCGAGUUCCUGGACAUUAACUGACGCUGAGGCACGAAGGCCAGGGGAGCGAAAGGGAUUAGAUACCCCAGUAGUC
This 446-nucleotide ribosomal RNA is filed under the name uncultured bacterium. RNAcentral describes it as "partial 16S ribosomal RNA". It matches the Rfam family "Bacterial small subunit ribosomal RNA", at positions 338 to 795 of the family's 1533-position model. The record is from RNAcentral.